UACAAAGAUUUGCUAUGAACAGGAACUUAUGAAAAACAAAAAUGUGGUCCCAAAGAUAGCACCUCUGUAGAAAGUAUGACUCUUUUUGCUAAGGCUGAUACAGAGAAAUUUG
This is a non-coding RNA of Notechis scutatus (mainland tiger snake), 112 nucleotides long. The record is from RefSeq and is a predicted model, not a curated record. Lineage: Eukaryota; Metazoa; Chordata; Lepidosauria; Squamata; Elapidae.